This 663-nucleotide long non-coding RNA is filed under the name Androctonus crassicauda. Lineage: Eukaryota; Metazoa; Arthropoda; Arachnida; Scorpiones; Buthidae. The record is from RNAcentral.
UAAGGCUGUAGACAUGUCUCCUAUUCUUAUAUUUCUUUUAUGUUCUUCAAUUCAGUUUUUUAAAUUUCUAUAGGUUGCCCCUAUAUAGAUAUAAGGCAGAUAAUAGCCUUAGUAGAAAGGGCUAAGACCCACUGUAAUAAAGAAGAAGCCUUGAGAGAAGAAAUGGGAAAUAUAAUCAAAAUAGCUAUAAAUCAUGGAUACAAACCUUUCAUUGUUAACAAAAUAAGCAGGCAAAUAGACGACAGAAAUAUUAGGAGAACUGAGGCCGCGAGAACUAACCAGACCCCUACAUUAAGACCCAUAGUACAAGAAACACCUAAGUACGAAGUAGUAGAAGUAGUACCAGCAAACUUAGGAGAUUCUAAGUUAGUAAACACUCUCUUAUAGAAGCAAAAAACGAAGUCAGCAUAUGAAAAGCCCCUACUAUUUUUGAUGUAUUAAGGAAUAAUAAGGACCCUAGGAAAGAGGUAACAAGAGUGGCAUCUAUCAAAUUCUCUUAGUUAAUUUAGACACAGGAGCCCAAGAAAUCUAUAUAGGAGCAACCUAUAGAAGCUUGAAAAUCCGGAUUGAGGAGCAUAGGACAAAUAUAAGAAUGGGGGACGCAUCUAUAGCCUUAGCGGUGGAAGCUUGCCAACAUAGUGUUGCGGUCGAGUGAGAGGAAGC